CCUACGGGUGGCAGCAGUGAGGAAUAUUGGUCAAUGGGCGAAAGCCUGAACCAGCCAAGUCGCGUGCAGGAUGAAGGAUCUAUGGGUUGUAAACUGCUUUUAUGUGGGGAUAAAAUGAGGCACGUGUUCUGUUUUGUAGGUACCAUAUGAAUAAGCAUCGGCUAAUUCCGUGUCAGCAGCCGCGGUAAUACGGAGGAUGCGAGCGUUAUCCGGAUUUAUUGGGUUUAAAGGGUGCGUAGGUGGUUAAUUAAGUCAGCGGUGAAAGUUUGUGGCUCAACCAUAAAAUUGCCGUUGAAACUGGUUGACUUGAGUAUAUUUGAGGUAGGCGGAAUGCGUGGUGUAGCGGUGAAAUGCAUAGAUAUCACGCAGAACUCCGAUUGCGAAGGCAGCUUACUAAACUAUAACUGACACUGAAGCACGAAAGCGUGGGGAUCAAACAGGAUUAGAUACCCGGUAGUC
Molecule: ribosomal RNA, 459 nt
Filed under: uncultured bacterium
Lineage: Bacteria
Description: partial 16S ribosomal RNA
Rfam family: Bacterial small subunit ribosomal RNA
Source: RNAcentral